Molecule: long non-coding RNA, 2199 nt
Organism: Ictalurus punctatus (channel catfish)
Lineage: Eukaryota; Metazoa; Chordata; Actinopteri; Siluriformes; Ictaluridae
Source: Ensembl
ACAACGGCAGUUAUUAUGUGCGACACUCUUGGUUACACUAGAAUAUUGCAAGUUGCAGGGACAAACUGGAUGUUACAGACAGUUUUGUCAUGUGGAGAUGAUGUCGUAAGACAUGAAGGUAUCUCUGUUUACUUCCCAAGCACACAAUACAAUAAAAGGGAGGAGACGUUUCUAAGUCCCAAAAAAAGCUUUUAUGCAAAAUACUACCUGCAGACAGACAGAGAAAGAUGUCUGUCUGUAUUUGAGUAGUCACUCUCUAGUUUAUCACUAAAUAUAUUUUUGCUUAUUUACUGCGCUUGAUCACUCUCAAUCAGCUGGUGGAAAAGGUUUGUUUUAUAUCAAUCCUAAACUCUGACAGUGUCCUGGAGUACAUUUAUAGGUGUCUAAAUAGACAUUUUAAAUGUAACCAGUAAUAAAAUUUAAUACAAUUGUAACCUGUCCUAUUCUUAAUUCUUGGUUGUCUUAGGUUAUUAAUUUACUUUUACCAUUAAAAAAAAAAAAAAAAAAAAAAAAAAACUCAGUAAUGACUUAUGAUUAAUGUGAUAUAAUACAUGCGGCCUGGGAAAACCUGUCGGAUGUUGCUAUAGCAACCAAAAAAGACAGAAAAUUCCUUUUUUUCUUGGGUGAUACACUCUGACAACUUAACUUUCCAAACCAUCAAUAUAUUUCACCCAAGCAGAAAUAUUUUAUUGACUUUAUUUAUCUUGCAUUGCCUGUCAGCCUACAAAGAUCACUUCAGGUAAAAAGCCAGUUUAACAAACGUGGUGGUAGAAACCCUCUACGUCUAAAACCUUGCUAUAUGAUAGAGAAUGUCAGGCUUUGAUCAAGUUGUUGAUAAAUAGCACCCAAACACAAGCAAACAAACAGAAGCCUAAUCAAUUCAGUUUAUAAUCAGACCACAAUUCUCCUGUGCCACAGCUGGAAUGAAAUCUUUAAAUGUAAAUUUCUUCCUUUUCAAUUUUGGGUGCAACCAGACCUUAAAGAGAUAUGCAAAACUAAAACAUCUGAGAGGCCUGACGCUUCAUCUUGGCCUCCAUACUCUAUAUAUAGUAUUAUUAGAAGGAAAACAAGUGUGUUUACCUGAAUGGCAUGCUUACAAAGCUAUCAAAAGUGCAGGCUACACCCAUACGCAUACAUGUCAUAAUGUGAAAGUUUACUGAAACACAAUAACACUAAUACUUCAGCCUAAUUCCACUUUCAUGUGGAGUAUUGUGGUGGCUCGGCUCAUCAUGACCACACCUCAUUACCUACGAUACUGUAAACAAAGCCUCCAACAGUAAACACCCUGACAAACUGCUCUUACCUGGUCAACCCCUCAAUGUGCAAAUACAAAUACACACCAUCUAAAUCACUCAUCAGUCAUUCAUAUAGGCUAUGAUAAUAUAAUAAAUGAAAAGCAACAGACCUAGGUCUACACAGAUUAGGUUAGGUUAUCAUCUAGUGCAUGUGAUUUCUAUAAACAGCUCACCAAAAUUAUAUUUCCAGGAAAACUAACAUGAACCUUGAGGCAAUAAUAAUAAUAAUAAUAAUAAUAAUAAUAAUAAUAAUAAUAAUAAUAAUAAUAAUAAUCCCCCCCUAAACAACACCAUUACGUUCAGUCCAGCUAUAGUCUGAUACUACAUGAUUAGUCCAGCCUGCACCUGUUCACUCAGUCACCUUCAGGAACCUUCUAUAUGGAGCAUUUAACACCUUCUCAGCCGUCUGAAUAUAUUUCAGCUCAGGUUUAACCUCUUUACUAGUUUAUAACCCGAUUUAUAUCCAGCUAAUGACGUUGUAGCCUGUAAACAUGCGACGGGAAGCGAAGCGAACGAAACGACACCUAAAUCCGAGUUGUCCACCUGCGCAAGAUUAAUGUUAACACCACAAACUAGUUCUUUAUGAGCAGAGUUGUCCCGUUUCAAAGCAGCGUUUACGCCAACGUGAAACGAAUCAUUUUAUCACCACCAUGUUUGAACGCGUAAGACUGAGAGUAAAGGCGUUGAACGGGAAGCGCAACAGCAGGGAGCUUGGUGUGACAAGCUACCAGCUGCCAAAACUGGCUAGUCACAACUGGUAGUCCAUCUUUUCCAGUUGUAUCUCACAAAAGUGAGUACACCUGCUCCCCAUUCACACCUGAGACCUUGUAACACUAACAAGUCACAUGACAGCAGGGAGGGAAAAUGGCUAAUUGGACCCAAUUUGGACAUUUUCACUUAGGUG